UCCACAUGCCAGGCAAUUCCCAGAGGCCUCUUUGUUGACACGGCCGCCACAAUGGGAACCAAAGGCCUCCCAUUAUAAGCCUAACCCUAGGCCCAGUCGCUGCACUACGGGGUGAUCCAGCGCAGUGUUUUGGCCAAAGCCCCCCCUGAAUAUCAGCCGGGAUGUAUAAGACAAACCCCCCCCACACACACACACGUCCGUCCAGCCACGCAGCUUUGUUCAGUCAUUCUGCUCCCACAAUGGGACAUCACACUUUGGAAGUAAUUUUGUAAAAAGGGGAAGCCAAUCAAAAAUAAAGGCACUUAUUGUUUCUCUUUUGACACACAUUGCAGAGCGGCCUGCCCCCUCCCUCGUCGGUUGCUUUCUCUGUACAGCCCUGGAGUUCAUUCAUGUCUAUUAUAGGGACAAAUUAAAUAAAACCCCAGCAUGGGAUGGUGGUGGUGGUGGUAGGGGGGGAGACAGAGAGUCCCUCCGGACUUUUAAUGGUGGUGUAGCAAAGAGUCAGCGAUGGGAGGACGACCGCGGAGCAAAAGCAUGAGCGGAGAAGGUUUGAGGAAGGCAGGAAGCGCUCAGAGAAGACAUGAAGUUGUGAAGAAGCAGGAGGAGAGGAGAUCAGGGGAAGAGAAAACCAGAACCCGUUGGGGGGGAUCCGGGUCGGGCUCCAUCGGACAGGUCCGGGAGUGAAGAGGGUGUUGGUGAGACGAUCCUCUGAGGCCUUUUAAUGGAGACAAAUCCAGAAACCAUCAGCAGUGGAGAUGGGAUUCUGACCGGAAAGGUUCUCAACAUAAAGAAAAAGUGAUAACACUGAACCAGACUCGUCCCUGCUGGAUCCAUGGAAACGUGGGAAAGAUGUGGAAACUUUUGAUGCAAGAUGGACACAAAUUGUGGAAGAAACGCCUGAUAAGGAGGAAAUCUGAACGACAAACAAGGAGGAGCUGGUUUAUUUUUCUCUGGAGACGAAGCACUCUGGAUCACUACACCCAACCGGGACCCACGGAGAGAGCAGCAUCAGGCCCCAGCGGCGCGCCAACACACUUAACCAUCCGCAUGAGAGGCUGGCAGCACCUGGCAGACGCCACUUUGGGAACGCCAACCCCCCCCCCUGGAGCAUGACAGCACACUUUAACGCUCCGUUUCUGUCUGUUCUGAGCUAGAAAACUUUGAAAAGAAAAAAAAAAACUCUCAAUGUAUUCAUCUUCUGAUCUCAUAACAGAUAUUAAUAUUAAACUGUAAGACAAAAUAAAAGUCUUAUACGGUGUA
Non-coding RNA from Oryzias latipes (Japanese medaka), 1260 nucleotides. The record is from RefSeq and is a predicted model, not a curated record. NCBI's taxonomy places the organism in Eukaryota, Metazoa, Chordata, Actinopteri, Beloniformes, Adrianichthyidae.